CUGAACACCACACGCAGGCUCUGUGUGCAGGGCCCCGUCCAGGCCCCGCUGUCCCCCCUGAACACCACACGCAGGCUCUGUGUGCAGGGCCCCGUCCAGGCCCCGCUGUCCCCCUCUGAACACCACACGCAGGCUCUGUGUGCAGGGCCCCGUCCAGGCCCCGCUGUCCCCCGUGAACACCACACGCAGGCUCUGUGUGCAGGGCCCCGUCCAGGCCCCGCUGUCCCCCUCUGAACACCACACGCAGGCUCUGUGUGCAGGGCCCCGUCCAGGCCCCGCUGUCCCCCGUGAACACCACACGCAGGCUCUGUGUGCAGGGCCCGUCCAGGCCCCGCUGUCCCCCCUGAACACCACACGCAGGCUCUGUGUGCAGGGCCCCGUCCAGGCCCCGCUGUCCCCCCUGAACACCACACGCAGGCUCUGUGUGCAGGGCCCCGUCCGGGCCCCGCUGUCCCCCCUGAACACCACACGCAGGCUCUGUGUGCAGGGCCCCGUCCAGGCCCCGCUGUCCCCUCUGAACACCACACGCAGGCUCUGUGUGCAGGGCCCCGCUGUCCCCUCUGAACACCACAC
This 573-nucleotide long non-coding RNA is filed under the name Homo sapiens (human). Its description in RNAcentral is "HSALNT0274571". The record is from RNAcentral. Lineage: Eukaryota; Metazoa; Chordata; Mammalia; Primates; Hominidae.